Amborella trichopoda is the source of this 2731-nucleotide non-coding RNA. Lineage: Eukaryota; Viridiplantae; Streptophyta; Magnoliopsida; Amborellales; Amborellaceae. The record is from RefSeq and is a predicted model, not a curated record.
GUUUUGCGUUGCAGAUAAAUUUCCUCACUUCGAAACCAAAAUUUUGCUGCUCGGUUCUUCUCUCAUUAUUGUUUCUUCUUUUUGGGUUUUUACUGUGAAUACUGUUGUAAUUCUUCUUGUUCAAGGAUUUCUACUAGGAAUGUUGUUGCAUUGAUGCUUCUUCAAGAUUGUCAGUAUUUUGCAGUUGGAGAUUAAAAGAUUAAUGAUGCAAGUAUUCAGAAGUAAAUGUUUAAAAUGACAACGUUGAACCUUAAUGAGAUACCCAGGGAAGAUGGUUCAGCUUCCCAUGAAAAGACAACAAAUGCAUAAGCUUUACACAGUGCCACAAUCCUCCACCUGAUGUGUGCCAUUGGAUUACUCUCUAAAAGCUUAUUUGGAAGUAAUUUUUCUCAAUCCACGGAUGAAAAUACAUGUCCAAGGCUCAUUGGUAUUAUUCUACUGACCUGUGUGCUACUUCUAAUUUAUGGUGGUUUGGUAGUGCAAUGUUGUGACAGGUUAAAAGUAGACCACUGGCCAAAUAUCUUAAUAAGACAUCUGUGAUAGAUGGUACUAUAAUGGGCAAAGCUGCUCAGUUAACCUUGGGCUGCAGUCAAAUGGAGUGGGAGUGGAUGAAUAGUGGGAUAUUUUUGUAUUGGCACGGACGUUUGAUUGAGGCGUAUAAGAAGGUGGGAGGAAUGCUGCACAGUGCUGACGUGGGUCGAGGUGUUAUUGGUGUCAUUGAUGUUACAAUGUUGUGCAGAGUGUUGGUAAUGGGAAUGUAUGGGUUCUUAAUAACAAGCACGGGUUCCCGGACUUUGAGAGAUAUGCUAUGUUGGAGGAAUGGUUGGGAAGGAAAGCCGACGAUUAUUGGGAUGAAAAUUUUGAUAAUCUUGCUUUGAAAAGGGGCAGCACUCAUUUUAUACCUGAUAAUGAGUGGGUACAGUGUGACAAGCGUCGGAAGUGGAGAAUGCUUAGUCCAGGUUUUAACAGCAAUAGCUUGCCUUCUGAAUGGUUUUGGUGCUUGCCUCCUUUCAAAGGCUUGCGCAGCGAUCCCGAGCAGAAGCUUAAGCCUGGUAUUGUCACAGUGGGGGCAAAGAGGUCGCACAUCACGAGUGACAAUGAUCCCCUGUAUAUUGAAGUGAGCCCAUCAGCAAUCAUAAAGCGAAAACUCGUAACCUUUCGAAACCAUUUUUCUCCAUUUUUUUCUAAUUUAUAUUUUGUUGUUUCAUCCCAUACAAGCACUAGGGUAAAUGCUACUAUGACUGUCCCCAUUUUAUUUUUUCUAUAAAUUUCUGUUCGUUUUUUUUUCCCCCAACCAAUGCAACCACCUUGCAAGUAAGUUGGGGAAUUUCUGUUUUCUCUCUUUUUGGUCAGUAUGCCCUUUUAAUGACUUGAGGGCCUCUCCUAUUAUAAUGUGCCAUUAUAAAUUUAGACCCCAAUGUACUAUCAGUACCCCCUAGGCCAUCACUUACCAAAAGAAUUACAAAAAAGGAACAGACCAUAUUCUAUCACUAUGGAGUAUUUUUUUAGCCUAAAAACAUCCAAAGGUUCCUCUGGCAAAAUAUUUAAACGGUAAAAGUAUAUAGCAAGAUCAACUACUUGUGGUACCAAAAGCUCACGAUCACCUUUAGCCGUCAGUUGCUAAAACAAGUAGUUGGGGGCAACACACUGACCAUGCUUAAAAGUUUGAAUUGUUUUUCUUUUUCUAACUUUGUGUGGAGAAAGGACACUCUUCUAGUCAGCUAAUUUCAUAUCUAAUGUCUAGGGGUGAUGUGGUAUUUCUACGUCAAAGGUGUGAGCGAUCUUACAGUAUGAAAUCCAUAUCCUAAAUUUGCGAUUUCAAAAUAUUGCAUUUUAUUUGCUGAUAUCUUGAAAAUAAUGUGUUCUACACCUUGAUCUUACAAAUUAAGUAGGAACAAAAUCCGUAAUCCCGAAGGGAAGUUAUGGUAGUGUGUACAGCUGGGAAUCCACUGUCCCUUACCAACUAUUGAUGGUGGAUAUUAACUUACUAUUCACAUGGGUACAUCUGGUGGUGGACUUUCUCUUGGAUACAGUUCAGUCGCAAGAACAGGGCGCCGAUGUGUACUGUGGACCAUACAGAGGCUGUGUAUGGUUUGUCUCUCCAAAUCCCAGCUCCCAAACUUACCUACUCCUCUGCUUAUACUAGUUUUACCCACGCAAAACUGCUAAAAAAUGGAUAUUAAAUAAAAACAUACUAGAUUAUGGAAAAAGAAAGACCUUACUGCCUCCCCAAAAACCUCCAAAUAUUUAAUAAGUUGAUCCUGCAGGAGGUGAAAUGACUUCGCAGUUAGUUUCUGUGUUGUCUUGUCUUUUCUUGACAUUUCUCAUUAUGUUAAUUUAUAAUUCAAAUUCAAUUGUAACUGGAAUUUGUGUUGUCAUACAUAGGAUGGUCCUUUUGUUUUGUUAUGUUUUGUUUUUUGCACUUUUUAUUUAUUUAUUUAUAUGUAGCUCAGAAAGGAGAAGGCUCACUCAAGAAAGAAGACACUGGUGAAGAGAGGCCUAUUCUCAAAAGGAUAAGAAGAGGCCCUUCAAAGUGUCGCCGGUAUAAGAAGCCAUACCGGCUAAUUCUUGCUUUCCUUCAAUGCUUAGAAUAUCCCUUUUUUCUCAUUUCGUUUUCUAAUGAUCUCUGAAAAUGUUUCUGAUGAAUUCUCAAGCCUUUUUAAACAGUUUUUGUUAAGUCCUGGUUUUCCAUUUUCUCUUACUGUACAUGCAAUAAUGUAAAUUUAUUCUG